GAUGAACGCUGGCGGCGUGCUUAACACAUGCAAGUCGAGCGAAGCGCUUACGACAGAACCUUCGGGGAAAGAUGUAAGGGACUGAGCGGCGGACGGGUGAGUAACGCGUGGGUAACCUGCCUCAUACAGGGGGAUAACAGUUGGAAACGGCUGCUAAUACCGCAUAAGCGCACAGUAUCGCAUGAUACAGUGUGAAAAACUCCGGUGGUAUGAGAUGGACCCGCGUCUGAUUAGCUAGUUGGAGGGGUAACGGCCCACCAAGGCGACGAUCAGUAGCCUGCCUGAGAGGGUGAACGGCCACAUUGGGACUGAGACACGGCCCAGACUCCUACGGGAGGCAGCAGUGGGGAGUAUUGCACAAUGGGGGAAACCCUGAUGCAGCGACGCCGCGUGAAGGAAGAAGUAUCUCGGUAUGUAAACUUCUAUCAGCAGGGAAGAAAAUGACGGUACCUGACUAAGAAGCCCCGGCUAACUACGUGCCAGCAGCCGCGGUAAUACGUAGGGGGCAAGCGUUAUCCGGAUUUACUGGGUGUAAAGGGAGCGUAGACGGAAGAGCAAGUCUGAUGUGAAAGGCUGGGGCUUAACCCCAGGACUGCAUUGGAAACUGUUUUUCUUGAGUGCCGGAGAGGUAAGCGGAAUUCCUAGUGUAGCGGUGAAAUGCGUAGAUAUUAGGAGGAACACCAGUGGCGAAGGCGGCUUACUGGACGGUAACUGACGUUGAGGCUCGAAAGCGUGGGGAGCAAACAAGAUUAGAUACCCUGGUAGUCCACGCCGUAAA
Molecule: ribosomal RNA, 778 nt
Filed under: uncultured bacterium
Lineage: Bacteria
Description: bacterial SSU rRNA
Rfam family: Bacterial small subunit ribosomal RNA
Source: RNAcentral